This 363-nucleotide transfer-messenger RNA is filed under the name Yersinia similis. RNAcentral's name for it is "Standard tmRNA". It matches the Rfam family "transfer-messenger RNA". Rfam says of the family: Bacterial tmRNA, also known as 10Sa RNA or SsrA, is named for its dual tRNA and mRNA-like properties. Its role is to liberate the mRNA from a stalled ribosome. Lineage: Bacteria; Pseudomonadati; Pseudomonadota; Gammaproteobacteria; Enterobacterales; Yersiniaceae. The record is from RNAcentral.
GGGGCUGAUUCUGGAUUCGACGGGAUUCGCGAAACCCAAGGUGCAUGCCGAGGUGCGGUGGCCUCGUAAAAAACCGCAAAAAAAUAGUUGCAAACGACCAAGACUACGCACUAGCAGCUUAAUAACCUGCUUAGAGCCCUCUCUCCCUAGCCUCCGCUCUUAGGACGGGGAUCAAGAGAGGUCAAACCUAAAAGAGCUCGUGUGGAAACCUUGCCUGGGGUGGAAGCAUUAAAACUAAUCAGGAUAGUUUGUCAGUGGCGUGUCCAUCCGCAGCUGGCCGGCGAAUGUAAUGAUUGGACUAAGCAUGUAGUGCCGACGGUGUAGUAAUUUCGGACGGGGGUUCAAAUCCCCCCAGCUCCACCA